GCAAGUCGAGGGGUAUAUUUCUUCGGAGUAUAGAGACCGGCGCACGGGUGCGUAACGCGUAUGCAAUCUACCUUUUACAGAGGGAUAGCCCAGAGAAAUUUGGAUUAAUACCUCAUAGUAUAUCACAAUCGCAUGAUUGAGUUAUUAAAGUCACAACGGUAAAAGAUGAGCAUGCGUCCCAUUAGCUAGUUGGUAAGGUAACGGCUUACCAAGGCUACGAUGGGUAGGGGUCCUGAGAGGGAGAUCCCCCACACUGGUACUGAGACACGGACCAGACUCCUACGGGAGGCAGCAGUGAGGAAUAUUGGACAAUGGGCGCAAGCCUGAUCCAGCCAUGCCGCGUGCAGGAUGACGGUCCUAUGGAUUGUAAACUGCUUUUAUACGAGAAGAAACACUCCUUCGUGAAGGAGCUUGACGGUAUCGUAAGAAUAAGGAUCGGCUAACUCCGUGCCAGCAGCCGCGGUAAUACGGAGGAUCCAAGCGUUAUCCGGAAUCAUUGGGUUUAAAGGGUCCGUAGGCGGUUUGGUAAGUCAGUGGUGAAAGCCCAUCGCUCAACGGUGGAACGGCCAUUGAUACUGCCAGACUUGAAUUAUUAGGAAGUAACUAGAAUAUGUAGUGUAGCGGUGAAAUGCUUAGAGAUUACAUGGAAUACCAAUUGCGAAGGCAGGUUACUACUAAUUGAUUGACGCUGAUGGACGAAAGCGUGGGUAGCGAACAGGAUUAGAUACCCUGGUAGUCCACGCCGUAAACGAUGGAUACUAGCUGUUGGGAGCAAUCUCAGUGGCUAAGCGAAAGUGAUAAGUAUCCCACCUGGGGAGUACGUUCGCAAGAAUGAAACUCAAAGGAAUUGACGGGGGCCCGCACAAGCGGUGGAGCAUGUGGUUUAAUUCGAUGAUACGCGAGGAACCUUACCAAGGCUUAAAUGUAGAUUGACCGGUUUGGAAACAGA
RNAcentral lists this ribosomal RNA (949 nucleotides) under Flavobacterium pectinovorum. RNAcentral describes it as "bacterial SSU rRNA". It matches the Rfam family "Bacterial small subunit ribosomal RNA", at positions 57 to 1010 of the family's 1533-position model. The record is from RNAcentral. Lineage: Bacteria; Pseudomonadati; Bacteroidota; Flavobacteriia; Flavobacteriales; Flavobacteriaceae.